Molecule: transfer RNA, 72 nt
Filed under: Candidatus Woesebacteria bacterium
Lineage: Bacteria; Candidatus Woeseibacteriota
Description: tRNA-Arg
Rfam family: tRNA
About the family: Transfer RNA (tRNA) molecules are approximately 80 nucleotides in length. Their secondary structure includes four short double-helical elements and three loops (D, anti-codon, and T loops).
Source: RNAcentral
GCCCUCGUAGUUUAAUGGAUAAAACAAGCCCCUCCUAAGGGCUAGCUGCAGGUUCGAUUCCUGCCGAGGGCA